UACGGAGGGUGCAAGCGUUAUCCGGAUUCACUGGGUUUAAAGGGUGCGUAGGUGGGCAGGUAAGUCAGUGGUGAAAUCUCCGGGCUUAACCCGGAAACUGCCAUUGAUACUAUCUGUCUUGAAUACCGUGGAGGUGAGCGGAAUAUGUCAUGUAGCGGUGAAAUGCUUAGAUAUGACAUAGAACACCAAUUGCGAAGGCAGCUCACUACGCGACUAUUGACACUGAGGCACGAAAGCGUGGGGAGCAAACAGG
RNAcentral lists this ribosomal RNA (253 nucleotides) under uncultured bacterium. RNAcentral's name for it is "partial 16S ribosomal RNA". It matches the Rfam family "Bacterial small subunit ribosomal RNA", at positions 524 to 776 of the family's 1533-position model. The record is from RNAcentral.